RNAcentral lists this long non-coding RNA (2110 nucleotides) under Cucumis sativus (cucumber). RNAcentral's name for it is "long non-coding RNA (CSAT_LNC002196)". The record is from RNAcentral. Lineage: Eukaryota; Viridiplantae; Streptophyta; Magnoliopsida; Cucurbitales; Cucurbitaceae.
CAAAACUCUCAAAUUUGUAUAAGAACUCUCUCAAUCACUCAAUAAAAUCCUCCACUUUUGCUGCAAGAGUGAACUUAUUUCUCCGAAAAUUUUUCUUUUGUAUCUCCAACUUCAUUGAUGGGCUAAGGUAAUAGGGUAGUUGGGUGAUUUCGAUCCAAUUCUAUGAGAUUACUUGUUUAGUUUUGCAUAUUAAUUUGAUCUAGGGCCCUUCUUCUUUUAUGCAUCCGCUAGAUCACCCGAUAAAUUUAAGCUUUAAUUUUAACAUCUAGAAGUGCUAAACUCAUCGUUAAAGUUUGAAUGUUAAUGAUUUUAGAAUGAAUUCUUUACCAUCAGUUAGGAUCCUAUUGAGUUUGUCUUUUAUUGUUAAUUUGAGAAUGUCCCAUUGAUUUUUUUAAAAGAUAGUGUUUGUUCGGUUUUGAAAAGUUCCAAUACGAAACUCUUGAUCUUAAUGUAAUUCAUUGUAAUUUUGUUAAAACCGCUAAGAUAGAUACUUAAUUGCAUAAAUUAGUAUGAAUCUUGUAUUUUACGUUGUUUGUUAAAUUAAGGCAAUUAGUCCCGAGGACCAAUUGAGGAUGAAGUUGAAUGCAAAUAUACUUUUGUUUUAACUAUUGGAAUUAAAUUGAAUUACCUAAAUCCCUACUUUAUUAAUGGAAAGAAAACACUUGUCUUUCUAUUUCUCGAGUUCUUGCCUACAAUUCAUUUACAUCUUCCAAAGAUUAAGACUUCUAUUUUUCUUUUUCUUCUUUGCAAAUUGUCACAAUCAAAUCUCCCUAUUACUACUAUUGUUUUAGAUUCUUGAAAUUACUAAAUUGUUUGAUUUUUUGGUUUCAAGUGCUUAUCAAGAACUCGGGUAUGCUACUUACAAUUUUAUUAAGAAAGUUGGAUAAAUUUUCUUGAAGAGCAUUUUAGGUAAAAGUUUCUCAUACCCGAUUCUUUUGUAUAAUUCUUUUGUCUAUUGUAUAGACUUUUGUUGUAAUUAGAUUGAUCUCUUAUGUGCAAUAGUUACUAGUUCUUGUAUAUUUCUUAUUUUUUUAAACGUCCUACCCAAAAUAGUUUUUAUCACCAACAACUUGCAAAUUGCGUAGAUGGCAAUGAAGAAGUAGAUUGUAUAUUUAUUGCAUCUCCUAUUGAUGACAAAGUGUCAAACUCAUGGCUUAUUGAUAGCAGAUGUGCUACUCACAUUGCUAAAUUGACAAAUCUAUCUACCCAUAUUGAAUUUUUAGUCAAAUUGACAAAUCUGUAGAGUCUAAAGUGAAUCUUGGACAUGGUAAAAUUAAAUAGUACUACCUAAAGGUAAAGGUAAAGACAAUGUCAUUAUGAAUAUUAAGGAAGGUAAAAAGAGACUAUCUAAUGUUUUAUAUGUUCUAAGGUUAUCUCAAAAGUUGCUUAAUUGCUCAGCUGUUGCAUAACAAAAUAUAUGUGUGCUCCAAAGAUCAAGUUUGUGUUAUUUAUGACCUUCAAGGAGCAGAGUUUGCAAAGGUCAAAAUGGUUGAAAUGCAUUUGUUUUUAGUGAUGACUCACUACGUCGUCAUCGUGCUUUUUUUGUACAUGACAUUGAUGACAACAAAUCUUUGAAAAUUUUGCAUUUUUCUAACAUGGUUGAUGGUUUUUCCAAUUUUAUAUCCAUUGAUCAGAUUUGUCAGUUUUCAAGAAGGGAAGGUGCACAAACAAGCAAUAUGAUUUCUCAAACUACUUGGUAGUUUUGGAUUUGAGCAAGAAAAGCCUACACACGAGUUUGUGUACUUCUAGUGCUUUCAAUCUAAUACAAUGUGGUCAAACAAGACACAUCCAACUCAAGAUUUUAUUUACCGAAGAAAGCGAAGAAAGCAAGAGAAGAAACUAAAAUAAUUGGACAUCUCAACAAUUUACGUUCACACCAAAAUCGAGUACCGAAGGAGUGUUGAGUUACGAGUUUUCUCUCACCUUUGGUUUCAAAUUUUCAUUUUAUACUUUAAGUUAUUGUUCGAUUUAUUUUGCAGUUUUUAAUUUUAAGUUAUUAAGUUAAUGUUACAAAUAUGGCUUUAUUUUGUAAGUUAUUACGUUUAGCUUUGUUCCUAUAGAAGUGUUUUGUAUCUCAGGUAUAACAUGCAUCACAAUUUUUUCUUACUUC